Molecule: ribosomal RNA, 420 nt
Filed under: bacterium
Lineage: Bacteria
Description: partial 16S ribosomal RNA
Rfam family: Bacterial small subunit ribosomal RNA
Source: RNAcentral
UGGGGGAUAUUGCACAAUGGGCGAAAGCCUGAUGCAGCGACGCCGCGUGGGGGAUGAAGGCUUUCGGGUUGUAAACCUCUUUCGCUAUCGAACAAGGCCCGCUUAGGGUGGAUUGAGGGUAGGUGGAGAAGAAGCGCCGGCUAACUACGUGCCAGCAGCCGCGGUAAUACGUAGGGCGCGCGGGUUGUCCGGAAUUAUUGGGCGUAAAGGGCUUGUAGGCGGCUUGUUCCGCCUGCUGUGAAAACGCCGGGCUUAACUUCGGGCGUGCAGUGGGUACGGGCAGGCUUAGGUGUGGUAGGGGGGACUGGAAUUCCAGGUGUAGCGGGGGAAUGCGCAGAUAACUGGAGGAACACCGAUGGCGAAGGCAGGUCACUGGGCCAUUACUGACGCUGAGGGGCGGAAGGAUGGGUAGGGAACAAG